UUAAAUAAAAAUCGGUGUUGUUGCCGCCUUUCGUGGUGACGCGUCGGAAUUGAGUCGUCUUAACCGAACUUCGGUUAAGUGACUUAAAAUCUUGCAUGAUUUUCGAACGUAUUUAAAUUUGCUUACGUACGUUUGGGAUAUCGGAUGUUUAAUUAGGUUCGGUCAUCCUACAUGACUCGCGCCUAUAAUUUUUUCAUUAU
RNAcentral lists this unclassified non-coding RNA (200 nucleotides) under uncultured Glomerales. RNAcentral's name for it is "sequence contains ITS2". Lineage: Eukaryota; Fungi; Glomeromycota; Glomeromycetes; Glomerales; Glomeraceae. The record is from RNAcentral.